RNAcentral lists this ribosomal RNA (374 nucleotides) under uncultured bacterium. RNAcentral's name for it is "bacterial SSU rRNA". It matches the Rfam family "Bacterial small subunit ribosomal RNA", at positions 28 to 402 of the family's 1533-position model. The record is from RNAcentral.
GACGAACGCUGGCGGCGUGCUUAACACAUGCAAGUCGAGCGGUAAGGCCCUUUCGGGGGUACACGAGCGGCGAACGGGUGAGUAACACGUGGGUGACCUGCCCUCAGCUCUGGGAUAAGCCUGGGAAACCGGGUCUAAUACCGGAUAUGACUCCAUGACGCAUGUUGUGGGGUGGAAAGCCUUGUGCGGCUGAGGAUGGGCCCGCGGCCUAUCAGCUUGUUGGUGGGGUGAUGGCCUACCAAGGCGACGACGGGUAGCCGGCCUGAGAGGGCGACCGGCCACACUGGGACUGAGACACGGCCCAGACUCCUACGGGAGGCAGCAGGUGGGGAAUCUUGCGCAAUGGGCGAAAGCCUGACGCAGCGACGCCGCGU